GCUUUGGUAACUCUGGCAAGUGGGGAAAAGUUGGCAGUUCAGGUUUUGGUAACUCAGGCAAUUCAAGUUUUGGCAAAGUGGGAAUUUCAGGCUUUGGCAACUCAGGCAAUUCAGGUUUUGGCAGUGUGGGAAGUUCAGGCUUAGGGAAGGCUGGGACUUCUGGUAAUGGUGGAAGCUCAACCUUAGGCAGUGAAGGCAAUUCAGGCUUGGGAAGCUCAGAUACCUCAGGCAAUGCUGUUUUUAGAAGGUGUCGUGCAUCUACGGAUUGACAGAGUGAUAAGUGAGAGCAUAAUGAUGAGGGAAGGGGAGCGAUGAUCGGCCAAAAUGCGACAAGAUCAACCACCUGCAAAGUGAAUAGUAAUUAAAAUUUCUGGACAAUUUUGUUUUGCGUGUUGAUGUUCACUUAGUGUUGAGCUUUUAUAGAAGUGGGAAGUGGAGAAUGGAGAACCUUCAAUGGUAAUUUGGUGGGAAAACUUGUGUCCUGUUAGCUCAACUUCCCAUCUAUAAUCCUCCAACAACUGGCAUGACCCAUUAUAGGCUUCCAUACAAAAGUAAUCUUUCCGUCCUUCUACAUGGAUUCAAGAGAUUAGUUGGAGAGAACCACAGCUAAAAGAUUGACAUUAAGCUAAAAUAUGUUGUCAGAAAUCACAACACUUGUCAAGUUCAAGCAUUUUUACAAAUUUAAUAAUUCACCACCACUAAACUUUGACAAAUCUUCCUUUAUUGCAACGCUUAUUGUUAUUGUUGGAAUUUAAUGACUGACCGAUCCAAAUCUCCAUGCGAUGAAAGUGUUGAAUUCCAAUUUAAUAUGAUGGCCUCUUCUAAAAUACUUCUAGACAAUUUAAAUUAAAUUUCAAUUAACUUAUCAUAUUAUAAAGCUUAUUAUUAUCAAUGUCAAGACUACGUUAUGAAAAAUAUCUUUCAUAUUUUUUGUUAUUUGGAAUAAUGAGAAAAAUUAAUCAAUAAAAAUAUUUUCUUGAUUAAAGAAAAAAUUAAAUCAUUUUAAAAAAAUACUGCUUCUUGGCUCUUUCUUUCUCAUCAAUUCUAUUUUCCUGUUGUGCUCUUCCAACAAAUCCAUAGUCACCAACUUGCCCUUUGAAAUUUAAAUUAUUGGACGACAUCAUCAACGAGAAUUCUAGCAAAGUUCUCUAAUAUUUUCUUCAUCAAUGUUGAAUUUUGAGAGGGAAGGGGAAUAAUACAUAUGAAUGCGACUAAAUAGUCUUACAAUUUUAUUGAUUGUAUUGUUAUUUAUACAGUCAAAUAUAAUUAAAAAAUCUAAAUAAAAUUAUAAAUAAUUUAAAUAUUAACUUAAAUAUUAAUAAAUUAAAAUAAUGAUUCAAAUUUAAAUUAUAUGAUUUAGCAUAUUUUUCGGUUUCUAAAUCAAAUAUCCAACGAUCAAUUUAAAAUUUUAGUACUCAUAAGCCCUUGGUAUUAUUAGAAACUCUCUUACUAAAAUUUUUUAAUAAUUAUAAAUAAAAAAGUUUUAUUUUUCUUUCAUAAUAUUAGAAAUAAAACCAUAUCAUUUAUUUUAUUUAAUUUGUAAUCGAAUUAAAUCGGUUGUUCAUGAUUUUUUGAAAAAUUAGAUUUAAAAUAAAAUGGAUAAUUUUUUAAUUUUAGGCCAUCAAUAAUUUUUAAGUUCAGUAAUUCAUAAUACUAAAAUUUUUUAAAAAAAUUCACAACAACAAUUUAAUUUUUAAGUUCAGUAAUAAUUUCUCUUUGUGGCUCUGCAUGAAAGUGCUUGGAUCAUGAACUAUUAAAUAAGAUUGAUCAGUCAUACCCAAAAUCAAAUAAAUAAGCUGGAUCAACUCAGUAUAUAGAAAAUGAACUCACAAGAUACAUCAUUCAAACAACUGAAACAGAAAUAUUAUAGGACUACCACUCACUGCAAAUUAAUCAUGUAUAUGUAAAAGAAGAUAUAAAUGAUACUGAUCAAUGCGAAAGAUGAAGUCAUCACUGUGAGAUCAAAUAUAGAAACACUUAUGGUGUAGUUGUUUAAGGACUGGUGGUUGAUUGAGGAGGUUUUGUGUCCUUAGAAGGCAAUGUGGGCUUUGGCAACUCAGGCAAGUGGGGAAAAGCUGGCAAUUCAGGCUUUGGCAACUCAGGCAAUUCAGGUUUUGGCAGUAUGGGAAGUUCAGGUUUAGGAAAGGUGGAGACUUCAGGUAAUGGUGGAAGCUCAACUUUAGGCAAUGAUGGCAACUCAGGCUUGGGAAGCUCAGGUACCUCAGGCAAUUCUGUCUCCAGAAGGUGUCGUGCAUCUACAGAGAUUGAUAGAGUGAUGAGUGAGAGCAUAAUGAUGAGGGAAGAGCGAAGAUCGGCCAUAAUGCUAU
Molecule: long non-coding RNA, 2327 nt
Filed under: Manihot esculenta (cassava)
Lineage: Eukaryota; Viridiplantae; Streptophyta; Magnoliopsida; Malpighiales; Euphorbiaceae
Description: long non-coding RNA (MESC_LNC003822)
Source: RNAcentral